This 661-nucleotide long non-coding RNA is filed under the name Triticum aestivum (bread wheat). Its description in RNAcentral is "long non-coding RNA (TAES_LNC016864)". Lineage: Eukaryota; Viridiplantae; Streptophyta; Magnoliopsida; Poales; Poaceae. The record is from RNAcentral.
GAAUAUAUUUAUAUGACAACAUCAAACUUCAUAUAGCAUCAUCAGUUCCAUACGUAUAUAAUUACACUACAAGGCUACAAAGGUACCAUCCACAAAAGGAUCUGCUAACUACAAUAAUACUAGCAAAAUACACCGGCUUGCAACUACCACCAGAUGUAUCAACAUCAGUUCCAUACAUACACUACAAGGCUACAAAGGUACCAUCCACAAAAGGAUCUGCCAACUACAACAAUACUAGCAAAAUACGCCGGCUUGCAACUACCACCAGAUCUUAGUUCUCAUUCCUAAGCCAUACCAGAUACACAAGUCCACAAAAGAGCAUAUUACGACCACAUAUAGUCUGAUGUUAUCAUGUUGAUUGAGCAAUCAGUUUCCGCCAUGGUUGGCUGCGUCAACGGUCUGAUCGCCGACAUUCCCAGCGGCUUCAUCCUCCUCGCUUGACUCCAUGACAUCAUUGUUGCCAUCAACCGCUUGCGAGCCGGCUUGAGAUGAGUUAUUUGUCCCCUGAAUCAAGAAGUAACCUAAUUGUUAUUUAAUCUGAUUUAGAACAAUAAAAAUACAAUACUUUGUUGGAUAACAAGUGGAGACAACAUAACCAAAUGAACCAAAUAAUAUCCAUUUAUUGAUUAAUGCUUGGCACCAAGAACUGAUUUUGUCUAGG